GACAGAGGCCCCGAGCGUUAAUCGGAAUUACUGGGCUUAAAGGGUGCGUAGGCGGCCCAGAAAGUGCUUUGUGAAAUCCCCCGGCUCAACCGGGGAACAGCGGGGCAUACUGCUGGUCUUGAGGCAAGUAAGGGUUGCGAGAACUGUAGGUGGAGCGGUGAAAUGCGUAGAUAUCUACAGGAAUGCCGAUGGUGAAGACGCGCAACUGGGCUUGUCCUGACGCUGAGGCACGAAAGCGUGGGGAGCAAACAGG
RNAcentral lists this ribosomal RNA (253 nucleotides) under uncultured bacterium. Its description in RNAcentral is "partial 16S ribosomal RNA". It matches the Rfam family "Bacterial small subunit ribosomal RNA", at positions 524 to 776 of the family's 1533-position model. The record is from RNAcentral.